GGCCGGGCCCUUGCAAGGGUUGGAGCGUGAACCGGGUCAGGCGGGGAACCGAGCAGCCCUAAGCGGAUCCGGCUUUGUGCAGGCAAGCCUGGUCGGG
This 97-nucleotide signal recognition particle RNA is filed under the name Planctomycetota bacterium. RNAcentral describes it as "signal recognition particle sRNA small type". It matches the Rfam family "Bacterial small signal recognition particle RNA". From Rfam's summary of the family: The signal recognition particle (SRP) is a universally conserved ribonucleoprotein involved in the co-translational targeting of proteins to membranes. Archaeal SRP consists of a 7S RNA and homologues of the eukaryotic SRP19 and SRP54 proteins. The record is from RNAcentral. Lineage: Bacteria; Pseudomonadati; Planctomycetota.